GAUGAACGCUGGCGGCGUGCCUAACACAUGCAAGCCGAACGGAGUCCAGCCUUUAAGACCUUCGGGUCAAAGAGGGGAAGACUGAGUGGCGGACGGGUGAGUAACACGUGGGCAACCUGGCUCAUAGAGGGGGAUAACAGAGAGAAAUUUCUGCUAAUACCGCAUAAGCACACACUGCCGCAUGGCAGAGGGUGAAAAGAGAAUCGCUAUGAGAUGGACCCGCGUCUGAUUAGCCAGUUGGCAGGGUAAGAGCCUACCAAAGCGACGAUCAGUAGCCGAUCUGAGAGGAUGAACGGCCACAGUGGGACUGAGACACGGCCCAAACUCCUACGGGAGGCAGCAGUGGGGGAUAUUGCACAAUGGGGGGAACCCUGAUGCAGCGACGCCGCGUGAGUGAAGAAGUAUUUCGGUAUGUAAAGCUCUAUCAGCAGGGAAGAUAAUGACAGUACCUGAAUAAGAAGCCCCGGCUAACUACGUG
Molecule: ribosomal RNA, 478 nt
Filed under: uncultured bacterium
Lineage: Bacteria
Description: partial 16S ribosomal RNA
Rfam family: Bacterial small subunit ribosomal RNA
Source: RNAcentral